This is a non-coding RNA of Cyanistes caeruleus (blue tit), 738 nucleotides long. The record is from RefSeq and is a predicted model, not a curated record. NCBI's taxonomy places the organism in Eukaryota, Metazoa, Chordata, Aves, Passeriformes, Paridae.
GUAGCAGCUGAGCCCACUGGAAUCUUCAUGGCUGGUGCUUCCCGGGAGGCUCCCGAAGCUCAACAGUGUGAAAGAGUGGCUAGCUAACAAAGGUCGUGUUCCCAUGCAGCAAUUAGCUGAGAAAGAAUUAAACAACAGUGGAGUGUAGUUGGUAUGAGAUGUUGCAAUGUCAGAAAGACCUUACUGAUAACUGUGAACUGAGAACAGGACACUGUGAUCAGAAGAAUGUGGAUUCAGCACAGAUGAAUGACCACAAGAAAGUGGAACUAGGGAGUUUGGAGUUGCCAAUAAAUGAGACUUGCUGAUCAUUCAUAUUGAGUGCUGCUUGUCUCCCGCCGAACUCAUCAAAUGGCGCCCGAACAAAUGGGACCCUUGGGACCUUUGGGACCUUUGGGACAUUAAAAAGCGAAGGCCACGGGAGUCGGUGACAGGGGACGGGUCCUCCGCAGCAAGGACGGCGAAAAGCAACGGUGCCGCGCCCCAGGCGACCUCAGAGGAGAGUCCUGGCCGUAACGUGCUGCCGAACCUUGUAGGGCUGCAACAGCGCUGACGGUAAGAUGGAAAGGCAAGCAGCACAUGAUUUAUUUACCUGCUUUUUAGAAAAGCCACAGCUUAAGGGUUUUGAUUUGCGCAAGGAGCUCCCUGGACUUCUUGCUUAUGGGUAUGCUUACACCUUUACCUCCCACUGCUGGGCAAACACUCCUAUCUAUGCUGCCCAUGGAAAGAGGGAGGGAGAGU